RNAcentral lists this ribosomal RNA (274 nucleotides) under uncultured bacterium. Its description in RNAcentral is "partial 16S ribosomal RNA". It matches the Rfam family "Bacterial small subunit ribosomal RNA", at positions 523 to 796 of the family's 1533-position model. The record is from RNAcentral.
AUACGGAGGGGGCUAGCGUUGUUCGGAAUUACUGGGCGUAAAGCGCACGUAGGCGGAUUAAAAAGUUAGAGGUGAAAUCCCAGGGCUUAACCCUGGAACUGCCUUUAAAACUAGUAGUCUAGAGUUCGAGAGAGGUGAGUGGAAUUCCAAGUGUAGAGGUGAAAUUCGUAGAUAUUUGGAGGAACACCAGUGGCGAAGGCGGCUCACUGGCUCGAUACUGACGCUGAGGUGCGAAAGCGUGGGGAGCAAACAGGAUUAGAUACCCCGGUAGUCC